Molecule: long non-coding RNA, 1488 nt
Organism: Scophthalmus maximus (turbot)
Lineage: Eukaryota; Metazoa; Chordata; Actinopteri; Pleuronectiformes; Scophthalmidae
Exons: 3
Source: RefSeq, a predicted model, not a curated record
UCUACCUGCUUCUCCUCAGAUGCUGCAGGAGAAGCUUUUUCACUCUCCAACGCCUCGAAAUCAAAGUACAGCAGCAGCAGCAGCAACAAAAAAAGAAGAAGAAGAAGAAGAAGAAAUCCAGCUGAUAUGCAAUGGAGGAGGUGGAGCAUCUCUUACACUACACACGAGCGCUCUUGAAUAAACAGAAAUCGCGCAAGGCGAGAAGAGAAGAAGAAAAACAACAACAACAUUUUGACCUGCUAAUUAAGAGGCGCUGUCGGGGAUGCCACUGCUCCUUCGCUCUCAGCCAUGUGCCAAAAACACGGUCUCCGUCUCCCGGCCUCCCUCCGCCUGGAGAGACAAAAGGCGACGCAGCUACUCCGAGACGCACAUCAGUGCAGAACAUAUUCAAUGGAGCGCCAGUCAUUGGUACCUGCUGGACCAAAACAUGUUGGUUAUUGUAAGAAAUUGUAAACAAGAAGUCGUCGUCUGAGGACCGCGAAAGACUCAAGUGUUGUCGAGAUGUCGAGUGAUGGAAAGAUGAAUAGACCAACCACGGCUUACUCAUCAUUCUCGGGCGCAAACCCCCAGCACAAAAAAAGAAAGAUAAGUAAACCUGCAUGUGCAGGAGGAGAACGUGUAAACUCAGCACAUAUAGAAUGACUGCUGUGAGUUUUUAUUGUUACAGCUUGCAGGUGCUUUUUUAUCAUUUAAGUGACGGAGAUAUAAUAAAAAAUACGGGAGAUCUCGGGAGAGAGCUCCAGAGGGCAGGGGCUGCCACAAGGAAUGCCCCGUCACCAUAGGUUCUCGGGGACGUACAAUGGAUGGCGAGCAGACCUGAAUGAGAGGUAGAAGAUUACUGAUCUUGCAGAUUUCAAAACUGCGAGACGCUCCAGAAGAUCGUCAAGAAUGCGCCAUAAAUCUACUUAUAUAACAUCCCUUUCGGAUAAACAGUACUUGAGGGAUUAAGGUAGAGCAAGAAGCUUUCUCAUCCCCUAACAUCUGAAGGACGAUGUUGAAGCCACAGUGCAGCGGGCGAUAAGAGGAUGGACGGGCGGCACUAUAUCAGCGUUUCCAAAGGGAAGUACAUACCGUCUUUGGAGAUGUACAUAUAGAUGCAUUUCUAAUUGGCACACGGAGGACACCGGGGGUUUCUGCAGUGGAGAGCCAUUCAGUGGUAGCGACUCUGAAAUGAUGGAUACCGAGUCUGGCAGCGGAGAUAAAAACAAGCCCACAAAAAGUUGUAGGUGAGGGGGAGAGCAAAAAGGCAAUGGAUGCAUAUCAUUGGAAACACAUUUAGCAGUGAGCAAUAACCAGACUGGGAGCAGAAGAGAACACAAGCACUUGAUACUUGUAAAAUGGUGUCUACAGUGUCUUGCAGUGUCAGUAUCGCCCAGUGUAUACCAUAGAAGAUUUGAAUUAAUUAGGACGUGGGCCAGUCACAUUUGUAUUUAAUUUUUCCUGGGGUAUUUUAAGCAUUUAUCAGACAGGAAGGGUAGAGACUAACAA